AUGGAGAGUUUGAUCCUGGCUCAGGAUGAACGCUGGCGGCGUGCCUAAUACAUGCAAGUCGAGCGAACAGACGAGGAGCUUGCUCCUUUGACGUUAGCGGCGGACGGGUGAGUAACACGUGGGUAACCUACCUAUAAGACUGGGAUAACUUCGGGAAACCGGAGCUAAUACCGGAUAAUAUUUCGAACCGCAUGGUUCGAUAGUGAAAGAUGGCUCUGCUAUCACUUAUAGAUGGACCUGCGCCGUAUUAGCUAGUUGGUAAGGUAACGGCUUACCAAGGCAACGAUACGUAGCCGACCUGAGAGGGUGAUCGGCCACACUGGAACUGAGACACGGCCCAGACUCCUACGGGAGGCAGCAGUGGGGAAUUUUGCACAAUGGGGGAAACCCUGAUGCAGCGACGCCGCGUGAUUUAGAAGGCCUUCGGGUUGUAAAAAUCUUUUGUAUGGGAAGAAAAUGACAGUACCAUACGAAUAAGGACCGGCUAAUUACGUGCCAGCAGCCGCGGUAAUAC
This 514-nucleotide ribosomal RNA is filed under the name Chrysotila carterae. Its description in RNAcentral is "partial Bacterial small subunit ribosomal RNA". It matches the Rfam family "Bacterial small subunit ribosomal RNA", at positions 1 to 526 of the family's 1533-position model. Lineage: Eukaryota; Haptophyta; Isochrysidales; Isochrysidaceae. The record is from RNAcentral.